CUUGCUGGAGAUCCCUGCAUGCUUAAGACUUUCUGGAGGUAACACUGCUAAAAUGGCAGUUGAGCUGACAAUCCUCUGAUGUGGGGCAUAUCCAGUAGCAGAGCUGUAAUCCUCAAGGGUCAGCUGCUCACCUCUGAAGUGCAUUUCCCAGCACACAGUACUGCUGGAAGAUGAGGUUGUCCAUUCCUCAGAGAAGUGAACUGUAAGGAAAGAUUGUGAACGGGAGCUUUGCCUUGUAUCUCCGGUUUUCCCAUCGCCUGCUUGAUCUGACAUGACUUCUGUGUGCAAGUGCCAGGCCUCCAGCUGAAGAGGUCACCAAGCUCUCCCUUUGGAAGAUUGAUUCAGAGACUGCCACAUUUCACUGUCAAAAAUAACUCUUGCUGUUUAGCCUGUGUUAUCACUGUCAGGAACACUUCAGUCUGUAUUUGCCCUUUCUUAAGUUUCUUGCAAGCCUUGAAUACUCUUGAAGAAGUUCUUACGAAAAAGGUUCUGUAAGUCUUCAUCCUUGCUGGUGUUUUUUUUGUUUAAGUCUCACUUCCCCUCCCCUUCACAAGGCACUAUUUAUAGCUAGCAGCGCCAGUCAUAUUUUGCAGAAGUGGAAAUUUGAACAAGUGAGAGCCAAAGUGCAAGUUGAUAUAAGGAAGAUGCCUCAAAUAUACCUGGGACGCUCAGCACUCCUGUCUUCAUGUGAGCAAACGAUUGUUGCUCUGGCUGUUUGCAUUUGCCUAACCUUCUGUCAUCAAAUAAAAUCACAAACAAGAUAAAAUUUCUGUUGGAGUCAAAUAUGAGUGGAAUCCCAAGAAAGACUCUAAAGGUCAGAUCAGCAGUUAUAUGAUAUAUUGCUCCCCAGUAUCUACAAAACCUUGGUGACAUUAAACAGUACAAAGUGGAGUUUGCUAGAAGGUACUUGAGUGUUGUAUAUUUAAAGAACAAGCUGUUACCUGGAAAUAAUAAAUAAUGGUGAAAGGCUUCC
This 973-nucleotide long non-coding RNA is filed under the name Gallus gallus (chicken). Its description in RNAcentral is "lncRNA (ENSGALG00010015536.1)". Lineage: Eukaryota; Metazoa; Chordata; Aves; Galliformes; Phasianidae. The record is from RNAcentral.